Molecule: long non-coding RNA, 369 nt
Filed under: Salvia miltiorrhiza (redroot sage)
Lineage: Eukaryota; Viridiplantae; Streptophyta; Magnoliopsida; Lamiales; Lamiaceae
Description: long non-coding RNA (SMIL_LNC002281)
Source: RNAcentral
AGAGGCACCCAUCCUCGUAAAGGCGCUGUGGUAUCUAUCGAACUAUCUUUCUCACCGCGGCUCGAGCAAUCCGAUUCCAGGGAAUCUUCAAUUGAGGCGUUGACUUAGAUUCCAUUCUCUUUUGUUUAGUUAUAGAGGCUCAUCUUUCAUUGAUAGGAAUGUAGGUAACCGCACUAGGCAUUCCAAACUUUUUUGCACAAGAGUAGCAAUUAUCCGUCUAUCCCGGGGAUAGGAACAGUCAGAUGAGACCUGCUAUUCAUCGGCGAAUUACUCCACCGGGAUAUCAGAUGUUGAAUAAUUGCCCGCUCUUGGUCCGUCUACGAAGGGGUAAGAAAGGAGAACAAAGCAGACUUGCCCGAUUAGUACUAA